This 22-nucleotide non-coding RNA is filed under the name Arabidopsis thaliana (thale cress). The record is from RNAcentral. Lineage: Eukaryota; Viridiplantae; Streptophyta; Magnoliopsida; Brassicales; Brassicaceae.
UGGGUACAAAUUUUUCGUGCCA